This 147-nucleotide unclassified non-coding RNA is filed under the name uncultured fungus. RNAcentral describes it as "sequence contains ITS2". RNAcentral also lists the same sequence under 1 other name. Lineage: Eukaryota; Fungi. The record is from RNAcentral.
AACCCCUCAAGCCUAGCUUGGUGUUGGGCGUUUGUCCUGCUCUGUCAGGACUCGCCUCGAAAACAUUGGCAGUCUCCCAUGGCUAGAAGCGCAGUACAAUCGCGCUACCUUGGCCUCUGGUGUACUCCCACAAGUACCAACCUUUUU